RNAcentral lists this ribosomal RNA (506 nucleotides) under uncultured bacterium. Its description in RNAcentral is "partial 16S ribosomal RNA". It matches the Rfam family "Bacterial small subunit ribosomal RNA", at positions 28 to 523 of the family's 1533-position model. The record is from RNAcentral.
GAUGAACGCUAGCUACAGGCUUAACACAUGCAAGUCGAGGGGUAACGAGAGGAGAGCUUGCUUUCCUUGUCGACGACCGGCGCACGGGUGAGUAACGCGUAUCCAACCUGCCCCCAACUAGGGAAUAACCUUGCGAAAGUAAGACUAAUACCCUAUAAUUUCCUCAGAUGUCAUCUGACGAGGAAUAAAGAUUUAUCGGUUGUGGAUGGGGAUGAGUCUGAUUAGCUUGUUGGCGGGGUAACGGCCCACCAAGGCAACGAUCAGUAGGGGUUCUGAGAGGAAGGUCCCCCACAUUGGAACUGAGACACGGUCCAAACUCCUACGGGAGGCAGCAGUGAGGAAUAUUGGUCAAUGGGCGGAAGCCUGAACCAGCCAGGUAGCGUGCAGGAUGACGGCCCUAUGGGUUGUAAACUGCUUUUAUACAGGAAUAAAGUUAGCCACGUGUGGUUAUUUGUAGGUACUGUAUAAAUAAGGACCGGCUAAUUCCGUGCCAGCAGCCGCGGUAA